This 77-nucleotide transfer RNA is filed under the name Streptomyces flavofungini. RNAcentral describes it as "tRNA-Gly". The record is from RNAcentral. Lineage: Bacteria; Bacillati; Actinomycetota; Actinomycetes; Kitasatosporales; Streptomycetaceae.
CCACGACGUGGUCCGCGAGGCCCAGGACGCCGCCUGCCGCGCGGUGCGGCCCGGCAUCGCCUGCCAGGACGUCGACC